CGCAGUUUCACAAACAGCAGCGGCCCCAGCUGGCUGGCUGGUUGGCAACUGGAGGCCUUUCUGUCCUGGCUGAGGGCCCUGGCCCCAUGGUGGCCUUUGGGAAGCAGCAUCUCAUCGGGCCGUUUUUUCGUUCUGGCGGGCGGCCGGCUUGGCCCGCGGGGUCGGGCUCCCCGCGCAGUGCAGAGACGUCUCCACCCUCAGGGACGAGGCUCUGACGUGGCGGGAGGUCGUUUCCGUGCGCUGCGAGGAGGAUUCCACGUGCCGGGAGGACGCCUCGAGGAUGCCAGGGAGCCGCUUCCCCGAGGGGGAGAGGGAGGGCCCCUCGCUGCGGCGCUGGGAGGUCUCCACCCGUCGGGACGACGUCUCCACGCGGUGGGACGAGGUCUCUACGCGGACCGUGGACGUCUCUGUGUAGCGGGUGGUCCCCACCCGGGGCGAAGACUGCUUGGCCCCUCGGGCUGAGGCCAUUCUGCCGGCGUGAGGGGGCCAGGGAGGCCUCGGGGCACCCUACAGCCCAACGGUCACCGCAGGCAGAAGAGAGGAAAACUACGGUACUGCCAUAGCCGGGAGC
RNAcentral lists this long non-coding RNA (571 nucleotides) under Pan troglodytes (chimpanzee). RNAcentral describes it as "long non-coding RNA NONPTRT007053". The record is from RNAcentral. Lineage: Eukaryota; Metazoa; Chordata; Mammalia; Primates; Hominidae.